CCACCACCAAAGCAUUCUCUGGUGUUGAAGGCCCUGCAAAGCAGCAUCGCGGUGGCGGAGCGUCGUUUGCGACGCCCAACACACAAAACAAGCGGUGAGUGCUUUGGGGUGGGGUGACUGCGUACCUUUUGUAUAAUGGGUCAGCGACUUAUAUUCUGUAGCAAGGUUAACCGUAUAGGGGAGCCGAAGGGAAACCGAGUCUUAACUGGGCGUUAAGUUGCAGGGUAUAGACCCGAAACCCGGUGAUCUAGCCAUGGGCAGGUUGAAGGUUGGGUAACACUAACUGGAGGACCGAACCGACUAAUGUUGAAAAAUUAGCGGAUGACUUGUGGCUGGGGGUGAAAGGCCAAUCAAACCGGGAGAUAGCUGGUUCUCCCCGAAAGCUAUUUAGGUAGCGCCUCGUGAACUCAUCUUCGGGGGUAGAGCACUGUUUCGGCUAGGGGGGCAUCCCGACUUACCAACCCGAUGCAAACUGCGAAUACCGAAGAAUGUUAUCACGGGAGACACACGGCGGGUGCUAACGUCCGUCGUGAAGAGGGAAACAACCCAGACCGCCAGCUAAGGUCCCAAAGUCACAGUUAAGUGGGAAACGAUGUGGGAAGGCUCAGACAGCCAGGAUGUUGGCUUAGAAGCAGCCAUCAUUUAAAGAAAGCGUAAUAGCUCACUGGUCGAGUCGGCCUGCGCGGAAGAUGUAACGGGGCUAAACUGUGCACCGAAGCUGCGGCAGCGACGCUUAUGCGUUGUUGGGUAGGGGAGCGUUCUGUAAGCCUGCGAAGGUGUCCUGUGAGGGAUGCUGGAGGUAUCAGAAGUGCGAAUGCUGACAUAAGUAACGAUAA
This 836-nucleotide ribosomal RNA is filed under the name Salmonella enterica subsp. enterica serovar Kentucky. Its description in RNAcentral is "partial 23S ribosomal RNA". The stretch from base 88 to 836 matches the Rfam family "Bacterial large subunit ribosomal RNA", at positions 566 to 1315 of the family's 2925-position model. Lineage: Bacteria; Pseudomonadati; Pseudomonadota; Gammaproteobacteria; Enterobacterales; Enterobacteriaceae. The record is from RNAcentral.